UACGUAGGGAGCUAGCGUUGUUCGGAAUUACUGGGCGUAAAGCGCGCGUAGGCGGCUUUGUAAGUUAGAGGUGAAAGCCCGGGGCUCAACCCCGGAAUUGCCUUUAAGACUGCAUCGCUAGAAUCCAGGAGAGGUGAGUGGAAUUCCGAGUGUAGAGGUGAAAUUCGUAGAUAUUCGGAAGAACACCAGUGGCGAAGGCGGCUCACUGGACUGGUAUUGACGCUGAGGUGCGAAAGCGUGGGGAGCAAACAGG
RNAcentral lists this ribosomal RNA (253 nucleotides) under uncultured bacterium. RNAcentral describes it as "partial 16S ribosomal RNA". It matches the Rfam family "Bacterial small subunit ribosomal RNA", at positions 524 to 776 of the family's 1533-position model. The record is from RNAcentral.